This is a long non-coding RNA of Salvia splendens (bonfire salvia), 479 nucleotides long. RefSeq lists it as uncharacterized. NCBI's taxonomy places the organism in Eukaryota, Viridiplantae, Streptophyta, Magnoliopsida, Lamiales, Lamiaceae. The record is from RefSeq and is a predicted model, not a curated record. The transcript is spliced from 3 exons.
UGACCUUCAUAAUCUUCAACGGAGAAGAAAACAACAAAAUUCAAUCUAAUCCAAUUGCAAUCGCGCCAGAUCUAACUACCUUGUUCUUUUUCAAAUUUAUUUUUUUGUUCGCAUUGGUUGUUUGUUGCAGUAACUGCUCGUGAGAUUUCGCUGUUUUAGGAAUUACAGAGUUUCUCGCACUGCAAUCCGCCGGUUCUUCAGGGAUGGAAAUGGCUCAAUUGAUAUGUGGAGGUUGCCACACCUUGCUUAUGCAUGCUCUUGGAGCAACCAGUGUCAGGUGUUCCUGCUGUCACACUGUAAAUCUUGUGCCAGUUGUGCAAGUUAUGGUGUUCUUUUACUACCAGAUGAAAACUGGAUAAUUUUUGUGCUUUCGUAAUACUUGGAAUUAGUUAAUUAUGAAUUGAUACACUCCCAAUGAUCAACAAAUGGUUUAGGGUUUAGGGGUAAGUGGUAACCCCAUCGACUUGAUACAAAUAAUA